GAUAAACGCUGGCGGCGCACAUAAGACAUGCAAGUCGAACGGACCAAAACCUUAGUUUACUUUGGUAGAGGUUAGUGGCGGACUGGUGAGUAACACGUAAGCAACCUGCCUAUCAGAGGGGAACAACAGUUAGAAAUGACUGCUAAUACCGCAUAUGCCAUAAUCACCACAUGGUGAUAGUGGGAAAGGAGCAAUCCGCUGAUAGAUGGGCUUGCGUCUGAUUAGAUAGUUGGUGGGGUAACGGCCUACCAAGUCGACGAUCAGUAGCCGGACUGAGAGGUUGAACGGCCACAUUGGGACUGAGACACGGCCCAGACUCCUACGGGAGGCCAGCAGUGAGGGAUAUUCGGGCAAUGGGGGAAACCUGACCGAGCAACGCCGCGUGAGGGA
RNAcentral lists this ribosomal RNA (390 nucleotides) under uncultured bacterium. RNAcentral describes it as "bacterial SSU rRNA". It matches the Rfam family "Bacterial small subunit ribosomal RNA", at positions 28 to 408 of the family's 1533-position model. The record is from RNAcentral.